RNAcentral lists this long non-coding RNA (1935 nucleotides) under Populus trichocarpa (black cottonwood). RNAcentral describes it as "long non-coding RNA (PTRI_LNC002741)". Lineage: Eukaryota; Viridiplantae; Streptophyta; Magnoliopsida; Malpighiales; Salicaceae. The record is from RNAcentral.
UUUCUUUCAGGCUAAUAGCCACAUGCCAGUUGUCUACAGUCUCCGGCAUAUGUUUUUCUCCAGGCUUCAGCCCUCCACAUCAUCAUUAUUUUACACAUAUAUACAACAUUUACCCUAAUCUCUUUCUCUCAAUCGCAGGAAGCCAUUCAUGAUUCAACAAUUAAUCAGCCACCGUGAGAUCGAUGGCUUCCUUUUCAUCAACAGUGGCAGUGCUCUCCUUUUUUCCCCCAUCAUCAACGGCAUCCUCUUCAGUCUUUAUCAACAGCUGGGAAGGGAUGUUCUCCAUGAGGGUAAAGUUUAAUUGCUUAUGUUGAAUUUUUAUUGCUGGAAAGGGAUUUUUAGCCCCGGUUGCUCUUUGUCCCAUUCCUUUCUAUUUCCCCUUCUUUUCUCUCCCUUAUAAGACUAUGAUGAUCUGUUAAUUAAAAUGCAAUCUCUUCCUUGUUGAUCUGUGUUUUUAGCCCCGGCUCCCUUUAUGUAAUUGAUGGUGUUUGUGUCUUAUUUUUAGUCGAUGCUUGAGAUGUUGAAAAGAGAUUGCAUUUUAAUAUUUUGUCCACAAUAGAUGUAGGAGGAAAUUCUCGAGUUCACGAUCUGGACAUAUCUUAAGGUUGUGGUAAAGGCAAGAAGAUAAAAUGUUCUUUUUAACCUCUAUUAAAAUUCAAUGAUUCGGCCAGAUUUGACAUUUUAUUACAGGAUUCUAGUCUACUUCAAUUGUUCUUAAUGUCAUGCCUUCUUCUUGUUCUUACAAUUCAAUCAUUCCAUAAUCUUGUUUUAUCUCAGCAUAUUAAUCUGUGGAUUGUAUCACAUAUGUCCUCUUUGUACAAUAUGGUAUCGUUUCUUGAGUAAAGAUGGAAUCCACUGGCUUUGCUGGAUAUUUUUUCAUUGUAUUAUGACCAUCAGUUUCUUUUGUUUUGAAUCAUAUCUGUUGGCGAUGUCAUCUUCUUGUGAACUAUGGAAUUUAUACACCACCCGCUUUAGCCUCAUGGAUUUUGAUAGUGAUAUUUUUCAGUUGGUGAUAUCAUCUUUUGUAAGGUGUGGAAUUUAUUCUGCCCCCUCUUACCCCGAGAAUUGUGAUGGAUAAAAAAUGGCAUGAUCAUGUGUUUCGUUCCUCAGAGUGCUUGUUGUAAUUUGAAAAACAAAACUUUGUCAUUGCUGCCCCAUUUUAUAAAUUUUUAAGUACUUCUCUUAUGUGAUCUAUGAAAUUGAUGAACUCAUACAUAUAUGUUAAGUAGUUUUAGUUUAUAUGACACACCACCAGCAAAUUAUUUAUUUUAAGUUUGUUAAUUGUUAAUUAAUAAAAAUUUAUGAAUAUGAGUAAUUGUAUUGUAUUUUUAAAUUAUUUAAACUAUACAUUUAUUUUUAUUUGAACCAUGUAUUUUUAUGUGCUUGAAUUAUAUAUAGAAAAAAAAAUUUAUUUACGAUUUUACGAUCCGAGUUUAUAUUACAUUUUUUAUAUUGUGUCAAAAAUACAUUUUUGACAACCUUGGCUAUAACCCUUUUAUAAAUAAUAAAAGCGUUUAUACAUUGUUUAAAGAACUUUCAAAAUUCAAAAAUCCAUAUGCAUCACUACUCAUAUAAAGCAUCACCUUUAUUAGCUACAUUUCUAGUAAAAGAAGUUAUGGCACUCGUGUUUUCAGGUACUUUGCAGCCUCAUUUCCAAUUUGUUUAGCCUGUUGUUGCAACCCUUCAGCGUGAAGAGCUACUUGCUCAAUUUGUUUUGUCAUCUAUCUUAUUUUUAUCUUGGAAUAAGAUAUUAUCAAUGAUUAGUACUUCGUUACUGGUUGUUAAAGCUUCAUUGCUUCUCUCUAGCACUCAUACUAUAGUCUCCAACUAUGCUACCUUAGUCAUUGCCCUUUACAGAUACUCUCUCUCAUAGUCAAGCUCACUUAUUUUAGAGUUAAUUUGAAUUUCAAAACUAUCAAUAUAGUCUUAACAUCC